UACGAAGGGGGCUAGCGUUGCUCGGAAUCACUGGGCGUAAAGCGCACGUAGGCGGAUCUUUAAGUCAGGGGUGAAAUCCUGGAGCUCAACUCCAGAACUGCCUUUGGUACUGGGGAUCUCGAGUCCGGAAGAGGUGAGUGGAACUCCGAGUGUAGAGGUGAAAUUCGUAGAUAUUCGGAAGAACACCAGUGGCGAAGGCGACUCACUGGACACAUAUUGACGCUGAGGUGCGAAAGCGUGGGGAGCAAACAGG
RNAcentral lists this ribosomal RNA (253 nucleotides) under uncultured bacterium. Its description in RNAcentral is "partial 16S ribosomal RNA". It matches the Rfam family "Bacterial small subunit ribosomal RNA", at positions 524 to 776 of the family's 1533-position model. The record is from RNAcentral.